RNAcentral lists this ribosomal RNA (1668 nucleotides) under Triticum aestivum (bread wheat). RNAcentral's name for it is "partial small subunit ribosomal RNA". Lineage: Eukaryota; Viridiplantae; Streptophyta; Magnoliopsida; Poales; Poaceae. The record is from RNAcentral.
AUGCCGCUCAGACGACUCCUCGCCGGCGAAAAUUCCAUAUUUCGUCGUCCUGGCCAUUCCACGAUUUGUCUUCCCGAUGGCCGAUACAUCGAUGUCUACACUGACGACGAUGGGACUCUCGUCACCGGCGGAUCGGAGGGCCGGCCGCCACGGCCUGUCCAAGAAAUCUUCGCCGACAUCCGGCGCCGUCAGGCGGCGGCUGAGGACGCCGCCCGUCGCCUCCACUACCCGCAGCGGCGUCCACAGCCCCGUCCACCAUCAGAUUCGGCCUCCACGAGCCAACCACCUCCAACCCCCUCCCCUCCCCUCCACUCCACUCCACCAUCAGAUGCAGCCCACCCCCCUGCAACCCCUUCCCCUCCCCUCCACCGUCAGCUGCAGCCUCCACAAACCGAACCCAUCCCCUAUGCUCCAGGCAAGCCUCGCCCCUUUACACUCACCGAGCUGGAUGCGAUACGUCGACGCGUAGCAGAUGCAUCUAAGGAAUUCGCCCACUCCGACUACGCUGACGGGGAUGGGGAACUCUUCACGGACGUCGACAAGAUAUCUCAACGCGUAGCAGAUGUACGCAUGGAAGUCGCCUGCUCCGACAUCCAGACGAGGCCCUACGAUCGGCCGCAACCUCCACAGUGCGAGUACCCUUCUUAUGAUGUGCCUGAGCAGUUGGAAACGCCACUGCUAGAGCCAAAGAACACCAACACUUCAUCUUCCUCCACACAGCCAGAGGCGCUAACUCAUGACAUCUUGCCAGUGUCGAGGCAAUUGUCUCCGCCUAUUUUCGCUCGCAAUCCUUCUGGUUGGCAUAUACAGUUUUUCAUCAGAAUAGAUGUCGAGGGUUCUUUCCACACGUAUCCUAGUCUGGGCGGACCAUUCCAGAGCUUGCAGGAAGCUGAGAAUGCUAUCACUAGCCAUCUUGAUGAGCUGCGCUCUCCAAUGAUGUGCACAGAUGGGCUUUCGGAUGCUGAGAUUGGUAUAUUACACGACCUUUACUGGCCUGAUGGCACAAGGCAGAAUUCUUCUGAAGGCGAUGCGGACCAUAGGAAUAUAAGCUUAUUGGUUCAAGCGUUACUGGACAAAUACAAUGAAGAUCACCAUCUUCUGGGGGAUUUUGCACAUGAACUUGAUGAUGUUGUUAUCUUCCGAGAAUUUGUUGAGGGGGAGAAAGUGGUUAGGUUCUAUCAUAUCAAUCUGGCUACAAAAACCAAAGGAGAAGAUGGUUUGCACAGUGGCGUCAACAAUCUAUUUUUUGCUGAAGUCAGACAAAUUAAAGGAGAAAAUGUAUAUGUACUCAGUUGUUUAUGUAUGGUUAAACCUACUGACAGUGGCCAAUGCUAUGGUUGCUUGAGUUAUGGAAAUAUUGAUUUGAAGCACCCUGUUGAUACUGAUAAAUACAAAGGUGGCCACACUGCCCCGCGCUCACCCUGUUGCGGUUUUGAUCUACGGUGUGAUGUACCUGCAUACAUUGAGGAUGAGGAUGAGGAGGCUAGGCUGGCGAAGGAGGAGGCUAGGUUAAGAUAUAUAUACAAGUGCCCUGCUCCGGCAAAAUUGGAUGGUGCAAGAGUGCGUGCUGGUUUGGCAAAGAGAGAGGAUGCUGGUUUGACCAAGGGAGAGUGUGGCCAGGGAAAAGCGAAAUACAUUGUGCCUGCUAGGCGUCGUCUGCUGGUUUGA